This 301-nucleotide ribosomal RNA is filed under the name uncultured bacterium. RNAcentral's name for it is "partial 16S ribosomal RNA". It matches the Rfam family "Bacterial small subunit ribosomal RNA", at positions 509 to 807 of the family's 1533-position model. The record is from RNAcentral.
CAGCAGCCGCGGUAAUACGAAGGGUGCAAGCGUUACUCGGAAUUACUGGGCGUAAAGCGUGCGUAGGUGGUGGUUUAAGUCCGUUGUGAAAGCCUUGGGCUCAACCUGGGAAUUGCAGUGGAUACUGGGUCACUAGAGUGUGGUAGAGGAUAGUGGAAUUUCCGGUGUAGCAGUGAAAUGCGUAGAGAUCGGAAGGAACAUCUGUGGCGAAGGCGACUAUCUGGGCCAACACUGACACUGAGGCACGAAAGCGUGGGGAGCAAACAGGAUUAGAUACCCGAGUAGUCCCUGUCUCUUAUAC